CUGCCCUCUGCCCAGAAGAGGAACAGACUUCCAGGAACUCUGUGACUUGCAUUGGCAGCAGUUCUGCCACAGCGAUGCAAACAGCAAAGGACAGAACCCACACCUCCCCGACGGUCUCCUCAAGAAGGCUGCUCCACGGGACAGAAGGCUCUUCUGUUCAACUCUGGUGCCAGUGGGGUUACCAAAUCAGAACGUGAUCCCCUCAGGGGUUUCCAACUCUUGGGAGAUGGCCAGAGGAGGGACAUCCAAGACUGAAGUGGUUUACAGGAAGACACUUCUUCGGUGAGCAACUGGUCCCUUGGGAUGUGACCCCCCCUCCCACAGCAUCCUUCUUCCUACCCAACUCCAUGGUCACAGGCCCUGCUCCUCCUGCCGCCUGCUUCUCUCUCUGCCUACAGUGAUGCACCUGGAAAGGAGUCCAGGAGGAAAAGAAUCGUAAGAGAUGAGAGGGGGGCAGAAGCCUGAUGACACAGGGAGAGUUUUUGUUUUUGUCUUAAAUGAAGUGCCAAGCCAGGGCAGGGCCAGGAGAAUGGGUCCUUGACGAUUUUCUGCAUCCCUCCAGUUUCUCUGGAAGCUGAGAAAGGAUUAUUCUUUCUCCUUCUCCAGUUCCCCAAGUGCCGAGCUCAUUGCCAAGUGCACCACAGCUCUGAGGUAGACCCUUGCUGCCUUUGCGAAUAAAGGACAGUAAAGUAAGUAAGAAAAUGUAGCAACAUUCUGGACUUCAAGGGAACAGACUAUUACUACCCCCUUAUUUUAUCCACAGACACACCAAGACCUCGAAAAGGAAUGGACUUAUCCAAGGUCACCAGAGAGAUUAUGGCAGAGCCCGGGUUAAGAACCCAGUGUCCCGCUGUCCACCGUUCUUCAGAUGAAAGGAAGUGAUGGUCAUCUCUGCUCUCAUAUCCCAAAUUGAUCUUAAAACACCAUCAUCAAUCCCCAAGGCCCAGACGGAUACACUGCAUGAAGCCAGGUACAAGAAACCAGAAUGCCCAGUCCAUUUACUUUCUGGAUUAACUCACCUCGAGUAAACAAGGAAGGCCCAGAGGUCUGCUUGCCCAGGGAGGAGGCAAGUUCACAAGUAACCUGGAUGUCCUCAGACUUUGCUAGAGGAACCCCUAUGUGUCCAGUGCCUUGAAUAGCGUCUGACACCUCUCAGGUGCUGCAGGAAUGCUUGAAGGAAGGGGUGAAUGACUCGGAGGAGAGUCUGGGCAUACACAGUAGAAACUGUGUCCUUCUCUUCUGGUGACUUAACACACCUUCCUGCAUCUUUCCAAUGGAUUUGGGGUUGCUGCCUGCCACUGGAUGUUAAAGACACCUCCCUAUGUCAGAAGGUACUGACAUGCCUUCUGAAACCAGCCCUGUGUUCAUCAGCCUCACCUCACAUCCAGGGAGGACUGGAUACGGGGACCACAGUGAGUACACUUGUCCCUCUUUCCUCAAGAUUCAUCUGUCAGCCUGCCAGGGUGGUUCCUGUGAGACACGUGCCUACGAUGUACAGUUCCCAGGGAGAGCCCAGCCAGCCCUCCGGCCCCCAGCCAGCUCAGGACGGCUGUAUGAAGUGAGAAUUUCCUGGCUGACUUGACAGUGAUGAGUCAGGCUGGCAUGAGCCAGCUUCAGAAAUGACAGGGCCUGAAUUGUGUGCAUGGACCGAACAUCAUCAGCUGGCUGGACCCAGACCUGGGACCUGGAAUCCUCAGACCCCGUUUAGAUGGCCAUGACCAGAGGUGGCUCAGCCCUCUUAAACGAUGUCUCAGUUUGGCGAUGUCUGAGGGCUCCUCCAUUCCUGUCACAGGAGAGGAUUUAUCCUCCACUCCCUGCCCCCGUGCGUCUCCACACCAUCAUGCUUCCUCCAUGACAUGGUGACCAGGCUCCCUUAAUACUAACAAAAAUAAUAAUACCAAAUUCUUAUUAAGCACUAACCACAUAACAGGCACUAUUCUAAACAUUUUACAUAUGUUGAUGCAUCAAAUCCUCCUAACAACAUGAAAAGGCAGAUGUACACUGCUAUAUUUAAAUGAAUAACCAAUAAGGACC
Molecule: long non-coding RNA, 2034 nt
Organism: Odocoileus virginianus texanus
Lineage: Eukaryota; Metazoa; Chordata; Mammalia; Artiodactyla; Cervidae
Source: RefSeq, a predicted model, not a curated record